GGGAGUAGCUCAGGGGUAGAGCAUCGCCUUGCCAAGGCGAGGGCCGAGGGUUCAAAUCCCUUCUCCC
This 67-nucleotide transfer RNA is filed under the name uncultured Brevinema sp. It matches the Rfam family "tRNA". Rfam says of the family: Transfer RNA (tRNA) molecules are approximately 80 nucleotides in length. Their secondary structure includes four short double-helical elements and three loops (D, anti-codon, and T loops). Further hydrogen bonds mediate the characteristic L-shaped molecular structure. tRNAs have two regions of fundamental functional importance: the anti-codon, which is responsible for specific mRNA codon recognition, and the 3' end, to which the tRNAs corresponding amino acid is attached (by aminoacyl-tRNA synthetases). tRNAs cope with the degeneracy of the genetic code in two manners: having more than one tRNA (with a specific anti-codon) for a particular amino acid; and 'wobble' base-pairing, i.e. permitting non-standard base-pairing at the 3rd anti-codon position. The record is from RNAcentral. Lineage: Bacteria; Pseudomonadati; Spirochaetota; Spirochaetia; Brevinematales; Brevinemataceae.